Molecule: long non-coding RNA, 208 nt
Filed under: Gossypium barbadense (sea-island cotton)
Lineage: Eukaryota; Viridiplantae; Streptophyta; Magnoliopsida; Malvales; Malvaceae
Description: long non-coding RNA (GBAR_LNC018567)
Source: RNAcentral
UGAAUUAUGCACUACCAUUCAAUCGGAUCACAAUUUAUUUAAAUAUCAAAAACACUUUUAUUCAAAAAGCUUUCAAAAUAACGCGACACUCGGGAUUUGUGAUCCUCGAAAAGAUUGUGUCCUAACUCACUGGAUUCCAAUCUUCCUCGGGAUCUGAGAGACUGAAUAUUCCUUUUAAUUAACACACAAAUAAAAAGCCCAUUUUCGG